Non-coding RNA from Omnitrophica WOR_2 bacterium, 71 nucleotides. The record is from Rfam. NCBI's taxonomy places the organism in Bacteria, Pseudomonadati, Candidatus Omnitrophota.
GCGGGUGUAGUUCAAUGGCAGAACAAUAGCCUUCCAAGCUAUAUAUGUCGGUUCGAUUCCGAUCACCCGCU